GACGAACGCUGGCGGCGUGCUUAACACAUGCAAGUCGAACGGAAAGGCCCUGCUUUUGUGGGGUGCUCGAGUGGCGAACGGGUGAGUAACACGUGAGAAACCUGCCCUUGACUUUGGGAUAACUUCAGGAAACUGAGGCUAAUACCGGAUAGGAGCUCCUGCUGCAUGGUGGGGGUUGGAAAGUUUCGGCGGUUGGGGAUGGACUCGCGGCUUAUCAGCUUGUUGGUGGGGUAGUGGCUUACCAAGGCUUUGACGGGUAGCCGGCCUGAGAGGGUGACCGGCCACAUUGGGACUGAGAUACGGCCCAGACUCCUACGGGAGGCAGCAGUGGGGAAUAUUGCACAAUGGGCGGAAGCCUGAUGCAGCAACGCCGCGUGCGGGAUGACGGCCUUCGGGUUGUAAACCGCUUUCGCCUGUGACGAAGCGUGAGUGACGGUAAUGGGUAAAGAAGCACCGGCUAACUACGUG
RNAcentral lists this ribosomal RNA (468 nucleotides) under uncultured bacterium. Its description in RNAcentral is "partial 16S ribosomal RNA". It matches the Rfam family "Bacterial small subunit ribosomal RNA", at positions 28 to 507 of the family's 1533-position model. The record is from RNAcentral.